This is a long non-coding RNA of Coffea eugenioides, 402 nucleotides long. RefSeq lists it as uncharacterized. NCBI's taxonomy places the organism in Eukaryota, Viridiplantae, Streptophyta, Magnoliopsida, Gentianales, Rubiaceae. The record is from RefSeq and is a predicted model, not a curated record. The transcript is spliced from 2 exons.
GUCCUGAAGCAAGCAUCCAACAGUAAAAGACCUCCCAAUUCCCAUGGACGCCGGAACAGCAGCUGCCGCCGUCUCUUGCGAGAAGGCCAGUCGUCCCUGGUUGUUUUCGCGGCGGAUAUUUGAGGUUUGGCGCGCUUACCAGCACCUACUCGACAAGUGAAAUAUUGGUUUGACUACUUGCUUAUACGUCUGACGGUGAUGCUUCUUUUGGUGACAUAUUGAAAUAUUUGCCGUUUGGAAUGUUAGUAAAAUGUUUUCUUGUAUGAGUUUGAGAAGAGCUGGCCUUGCUGUUGGCAAUCCAAUUAGAUUAUUCUCCUUUGGUUGUUCCUAGUGACGCUACAAGCUUAUGGCAUAGCUAGAAUGUAAGUUGCUUAAUUUUCAAAAGAACAGGAUUAAUCUUCA